AGAAACUUAGGAUAACGCCCCCCGAAACCGAAGGCCUUCAAAGCCUUAGACAAGAGUUAGACUCUCUUAGUUUCUG
This 76-nucleotide transfer RNA is filed under the name Mergus serrator. RNAcentral's name for it is "tRNA-Trp". It matches the Rfam family "tRNA". From Rfam's summary of the family: Transfer RNA (tRNA) molecules are approximately 80 nucleotides in length. Their secondary structure includes four short double-helical elements and three loops (D, anti-codon, and T loops). The record is from RNAcentral. Lineage: Eukaryota; Metazoa; Chordata; Aves; Anseriformes; Anatidae.